Melanotaenia boesemani (Boeseman's rainbowfish) is the source of this 257-nucleotide long non-coding RNA. RefSeq lists it as uncharacterized. NCBI's taxonomy places the organism in Eukaryota, Metazoa, Chordata, Actinopteri, Atheriniformes, Melanotaeniidae. The transcript is spliced from 3 exons. The record is from RefSeq and is a predicted model, not a curated record.
GAGUCGCGUCGAGAAGCUGAAAGUGUGUUUCUCACGCGCGCUGCGAGUUUAGACGUUAAUAGACGGAGCUGUGCCCGUUCAUCACUCCGAAGAGGCAGAAAAUCACAAAGGAUGGAGCCUGGACUGCAGCUGAUGACGGGCAGGAGUUGGAGAAAAUGCAUCAGAGACUAAGUCAAAGAAACGUACUACACAACAGUAGUUCACCUUGUUCCUGUUGGGGGGCGCUGAAUUACCUCGGGAGGUAACGUAUAAAGCGG